GGGCAGAUGGCCGAGUGGUUAAAGGCGACAGACUGUAAAUCUGUUCACUCACGUGUACGUAGGUUCGAACCCUACUCUGCCCACAA
This 86-nucleotide transfer RNA is filed under the name Sphingobacteriia bacterium RIFOXYC2_FULL_35_18. RNAcentral describes it as "tRNA-Tyr". It matches the Rfam family "tRNA". From Rfam's summary of the family: Transfer RNA (tRNA) molecules are approximately 80 nucleotides in length. Their secondary structure includes four short double-helical elements and three loops (D, anti-codon, and T loops). Further hydrogen bonds mediate the characteristic L-shaped molecular structure. tRNAs have two regions of fundamental functional importance: the anti-codon, which is responsible for specific mRNA codon recognition, and the 3' end, to which the tRNAs corresponding amino acid is attached (by aminoacyl-tRNA synthetases). tRNAs cope with the degeneracy of the genetic code in two manners: having more than one tRNA (with a specific anti-codon) for a particular amino acid; and 'wobble' base-pairing, i.e. permitting non-standard base-pairing at the 3rd anti-codon position. Lineage: Bacteria; Pseudomonadati; Bacteroidota; Sphingobacteriia. RNAcentral also lists the same sequence under 12 other names. The record is from RNAcentral.